RNAcentral lists this long non-coding RNA (935 nucleotides) under Capsella rubella. RNAcentral describes it as "long non-coding RNA (CRUB_LNC000092)". Lineage: Eukaryota; Viridiplantae; Streptophyta; Magnoliopsida; Brassicales; Brassicaceae. The record is from RNAcentral.
UUGAAAUAAAUGAGCACAAGCAAUGAAGGAACGAUCGAUCACAACAUCAAGGGAUCGAUCGAUCACAACAACAAGGAAAUGACCGAUCGUUCACAACAAGGGAUCGAUCAAUCUAUCCACUAGAACAAUCGGUCUCUAGGCACACUGUGCAAAGUUCGGGUCAAAGUUAUCAAGACCGAAGCUUGUGCAAAGUUCGGGUCAUUCAUGAAGUUAUCAAGAUGUGCAAAGUUCGGGUCAUCACCAAGAUGUGCAAAACCGGGGUUUAAUCACCAAAGAAGAAUGUGCAAAGUUCGGGUCAAUCUUGAAGAUGAAGAUGUGCAAAUCUAGGGUCAACAACAAGAUGAUAAAGAAUGUGCAAAUCUAGGGUCGAUAAACGAAGUGAAGAAGUCCCUAGAUUCAAAUGUGUUUAGGCGCCAAAAGAGGAGUCACAUGUGUGAGGAAGCAAUGCAAGUUGCAAGGAGCCACAUGUGAGUUUAAAAGGGACGUUGGGAGCUGUCACUAUCAUCUUGGACGAGCCCCUCUCUCCCCAAAGUCACAUGUUGCAUUUAGAAGAAGAAACAAGUGGGAAGAAGUCACAUGUUGCUUCUAAGGGGCCACUUGAGAGAUGUCACUCUCUCCUUUAGUAUUUGUCAUCAAUAUACAUUCAAAAGUGUAUAAGUGAAUGUAUAUGUGACCGUUGCUCACUAGGUUUUAGAAGGGAUACUCUUAUCCCAUUCAUUUUUGUAUAAAUAUGUAAGCUUCACAUUAAUAAAGUUAAGUUCUCUUUUGGGAUGUCUUCCCUCUUCUAAAAUCGUGUUCUAUACUUCAAAAUGGGUAGUUUAGAUUGAUCUAUUCUCAUGGAGAGCCCAAGCCUUGGCAAUGCUUGGUCUCUACCAUUUUUCAAUUCUAUUCUUCACCAUUCUCUCUAAACGAUUCUAUAAGGGGUUUUGGGUUCU